Molecule: long non-coding RNA, 91 nt
Organism: Thalassophryne amazonica
Lineage: Eukaryota; Metazoa; Chordata; Actinopteri; Batrachoidiformes; Batrachoididae
Exons: 3
Source: RefSeq, a predicted model, not a curated record
AUGCAGCUCUCUGUGUUGCCAGUUGGAAUGUGACAUCAUCUGUCAUUCAGAGCCCCAAAUCCACGGGAGACUGAGAAAUUGUGCAAUUUUU